RNAcentral lists this ribosomal RNA (406 nucleotides) under bacterium. Its description in RNAcentral is "bacterial SSU rRNA". It matches the Rfam family "Bacterial small subunit ribosomal RNA", at positions 354 to 776 of the family's 1533-position model. RNAcentral also lists the same sequence under 1 other name. The record is from RNAcentral.
GUGGGGGAUAUUGCGCAAUGGGGGCAACCCUGACGCAGCAACGCCGCGUGAAGGAUGAAGGUUUUCGGAUUGUAAACUUCUUUUAUUAAGGACGAAAAAUGACGGUACUUAAUGAAUAAGCUCCGGCUAACUACGUGCCAGCAGCCGCGGUAAUACGUAGGGAGCAAGCGUUGUCCGGAUUUACUGGGUGUAAAGGGUGCGUAGGCGGCUUUGCAAGUCAGAUGUGAAAUCUAUGGGCUCAACCCAUAAACUGCAUUUGAAACUGUAGAGCUUGAGUGAAGUAGAGGCAGGCGGAAUUCCCCGUGUAGCGGUGAAAUGCGUAGAGAUGGGGAGGAACACCAGUGGCGAAGGCGGCCUGCUGGGCUUUAACUGACGCUGAGGCACGAAAGCGUGGGUAGCAAACAGG